GCAUAUCAAUAAGCGGAGGAAAAAGAAAACCAACAGGGAUUGCCUCAGUAACGGCGAGUGAAGCGGCAAGAGCUCAAAUUUGAAAGCUGGCUCCUUCGGGGUCCGCAUUGUAAUUUGCAGAGGAUGCUUCGGGAGCGGCCCCCAUCUAAGUGCCCUGGAACGGGCCGUCAUAGAGGGUGAAAAUCCCGUCUGGGAUGGGGUGUCCGCGCCCGUGUGAAGCUCCUUCGACGAGUCGAGUUGUUUGGGAAUGCAGCUCUAAAUGGGUGGUAAAUUUCAUCUAAAGCUAAAUAUUGGCCGGAGACCGAUAGCGCACAAGUAGAGUGAUCGAAAGAUGAAAAGCACUUUGAAAAGAGAGUUAAACAGCACGUGAAAUUGUUGAAAGGGAAGCGCUUGCGACCAGACUCGCCCACGGGGUUCAGCCGGCAUUCGUGCCGGUGUACUUCCCCGCGGGCGGGCCAGCGUCGGUUUGGGCGGCCGGUCAAAGGCCCUCGGAAUGUAACGCCCCCCGGGGCGUCUUAUAGCCGAGGGUGCCAUGCGGCCAGCCCAGACCGAGGAACGCGCUUCGGCUCGGACGCUGGCAUAAUGGUCGUAAGCGACCCGUCUUGAAACACGGACCAAGGAGUCUAACAUCUACGCGAGUGUUCGGGUGUCAAACCCGUGCGCGCAGUGAAAGCGAACGGAGGUGGGAACCCCUCGGGGUGCACCAUCGACCGAUCCUGAUGUCUUCGGAUGGAUUUGAGUAUGAGCGUAGCUGUUGGGACCCGAAAGAUGGUGAACUAUGCCUGAAUAGGGUGAAGCCAGAGGAAACUCUGGUGGAGGCUCGCAGCGGUUCUGACGUGCAAAUCGAUCGUCAAAUUUGGGUAUAGGGGCGAAAGACUAAUCGAACCAUCUAGUAGCUGGUUCCUGCCGAA
RNAcentral lists this ribosomal RNA (911 nucleotides) under Talaromyces allahabadensis. RNAcentral's name for it is "LSU rRNA". It matches the Rfam family "Eukaryotic large subunit ribosomal RNA", at positions 38 to 965 of the family's 3401-position model. The record is from RNAcentral. Lineage: Eukaryota; Fungi; Ascomycota; Eurotiomycetes; Eurotiales; Trichocomaceae.